This 258-nucleotide ribosomal RNA is filed under the name uncultured archaeon. RNAcentral describes it as "partial 16S ribosomal RNA". It matches the Rfam family "Bacterial small subunit ribosomal RNA", at positions 524 to 784 of the family's 1533-position model. The record is from RNAcentral.
UACGGAGGUGCGAGCGUUAAUCGGAAUUACUGGCGUAAGGGCGCGUAGGCGGCCGAUCAAGUCAGAUGUGAAAGCCCACGGCUUAACCGUGUGAAGUGCAUCUGGAACUGGUCGGCUUGAGUAUCGGAGAGGAAAGUGGAAUUCCCGGUGUAGAGGUGAAAUUCGUAGAUAUCGGGAGGAAUACCGGUGGCGAAGGCGACUUUCUGGACGAAUACUGACGCUGAGGCGCGAAAGCUGGGGGACGAAACGGAUUAGAUA